This 285-nucleotide ribosomal RNA is filed under the name uncultured bacterium. RNAcentral describes it as "partial 16S ribosomal RNA". It matches the Rfam family "Bacterial small subunit ribosomal RNA", at positions 518 to 793 of the family's 1533-position model. The record is from RNAcentral.
CGGUAAUACGGAGGGUGCGAGCGUUAAUCGGAAUUACUGGGCGUAAAGACGCAUGCAGGUGGUUUGUUAAGUCAGAUGUGAAAGACCCGGGGCGUCAACCUCGGAAUUGCAUUUGUAAACUAGGCAGACUAGAGUACUGUAGAGGGGGGUAGGAAGUUUCAGGUGUAGCGGUGAAAUAGCGUAGAGAUCUGAAGGAAUACCGGUGGCGAAGGCGGCCCCCUCGGACAGAUACUGACACUCAGAUGCGAAAGCGUGGGGAGCAAACAGGAUUAGAUACCCUGGUAG